This 250-nucleotide ribosomal RNA is filed under the name uncultured bacterium. RNAcentral's name for it is "partial 16S ribosomal RNA". It matches the Rfam family "Bacterial small subunit ribosomal RNA", at positions 524 to 773 of the family's 1533-position model. The record is from RNAcentral.
UACGGAGGAUCCAAGCGUUAUCCGGAUUUAUUGGGUUUAAAGGGUGCGUAGGCGGUUACUUAAGUCAGUGGUGAAAGUUUGCAGCUCAACUGUAAAAUUGCCAUUGAAACUGGGUGACUUGAGUAUGGUAGAGGUAUGCGGAAUGCGUUGUGUAGCGGUGAAAUGCUUAGAUAUAACGCAGAACCCCAAUUGCGAAGGCAGCAUGCUGGACCAUUACUGACGCUGAGGCACGAAAGCGUGGGGAUCAAAC